CCUACGUGAUGCAGCAGUGAGGAAUAUUGGUCAAUGGGCUUACGCCUGAUCCAGCCACGUCGCGUGAGGGAAGACUGCCCUCUGUGUUGUAAGCCUCUUUUGUCAGGGAGCAACGCCGGCUACGUGUAGCCGGACUGAGCGUACCUUACGAAAACGCAUCGGCAAACUCGGUGCCAGCAGCCGAGGUAAUACGGAGGAUGCGAGCGUUAUCCGGAUUGAUUGGGUUUGAAGGUUGCGUAGGCGGAAUGCCAAUUCCGCGGUAAAAUCGCGGGGCUAAACCUCGGUCCGCCGUUGAAACUGGCGUUCUUGAGUGGGCGAGAAGUAUGUGGAAGGCGUGGUGUAGCGGUGAAAUGCAUAGAUAGCACGCAGAACUCCGAUUGCGAAGGCAGCAUACCGGCGCCCAACUGACGCUGAAGCACGAAAGCGUGGGUAUCGAACAGGAUUAGAUACCCUUGUAGUC
RNAcentral lists this ribosomal RNA (460 nucleotides) under uncultured bacterium. Its description in RNAcentral is "partial 16S ribosomal RNA". It matches the Rfam family "Bacterial small subunit ribosomal RNA", at positions 338 to 795 of the family's 1533-position model. The record is from RNAcentral.